Molecule: ribosomal RNA, 403 nt
Filed under: uncultured bacterium
Lineage: Bacteria
Description: partial 16S ribosomal RNA
Rfam family: Bacterial small subunit ribosomal RNA
Source: RNAcentral
GACGAACGCUGGCGGCGGGCCUAAUACAUGCAAGUCGAACGCAGUGGGGACGGGUGAGUAACCCGUGGGUAACCUCCCAUCAGAGGGGAUAACACUUGGAAACAGGUGCUAAACCGAUAUUGAUGGCUGGACCCGGGGUGCAUUAGCUAGUUGGGGAGGUAACGGCUCACCAAGGCCACGAUGCAUAGCUGACCGGAGAGGGUGAUCGGCCACACUGGGACUGAGACACGGCCCAGACUCCUACGGGAGGCAGCAGUAGGGAAUCUUUGGCAAUGGACGAAAGUCUGACCGAGCCACGCCGCGUGAGUGAAGAAGGUUUUCGGGUUGUAAAACUCUGUUGUUAGAGAAGCGGUAUCUAACCAGAAAGCAACGGCUAACUACGUGCCAGCCGCCGCGGUAAUAC